AAAUCUGGUGGCUAGAUAUGACUUUGCUCAUGUUUCUUCCACCUUUGAUGAUCUUCCCUUGUUCUUCAAUGAACAUGGAUGAAGGGAAUAUGUUCUGAGUGGA
Molecule: small nucleolar RNA, 103 nt
Filed under: Salmo salar (Atlantic salmon)
Lineage: Eukaryota; Metazoa; Chordata; Actinopteri; Salmoniformes; Salmonidae
Description: Small nucleolar RNA U3
Rfam family: Small nucleolar RNA U3
About the family: Small nucleolar RNAs (snoRNAs) are involved in the processing and modification of rRNA in the nucleolus. There are two main classes of snoRNAs: the box C/D class, and the box H/ACA class.
Source: Rfam by way of RNAcentral